RNAcentral lists this small RNA (559 nucleotides) under Pan troglodytes (chimpanzee). RNAcentral's name for it is "processed transcript". The record is from RNAcentral. Lineage: Eukaryota; Metazoa; Chordata; Mammalia; Primates; Hominidae.
ACUGCUAAUGUGGCAUCUGGACAAGUCUCAGCAGCGCUGACCCUCCGUAAGCGUUGCCUCGUGUAGUAGCUGCCAGUUAUUGAGCGCUUUGGGGGUUUUUUUUCUUUACAGAGUCUGUCUCAUGGGAGAUGAGGUAGGGACAGUCGUUUCUGAGACCGAUGUGUAAAGCGCCCUCCCUGCUUCCCAGCAAAUUGUGGCUACUAAUUUGCCCCCUGAAGAUCAAGAUGGCUCUGGGGAUGACUCUGACAACUUCUCCGGCUCAGGUGCAGGUGCUUUGCAAGAUAUCACCUUGUCACAGCAGACCCCCUCCACUUGGAAGGACACGCGGCUCCUGACGGCUAUUCCCACGUCUCCAGAACCCACCGGCCUGGAGGCUACAGCUGCCUCCACCUCCACCCUGCCGGCUGGAGAGGGGCCCAAGGAGGGAGAGGCUGUAGUCCUGCUAGAAGUGGAGCCUGGCCUCACCGCCCGGGAGCAGGAGGCCACCCCCCGACCCAGGGAGACCACACAGCUCCCGACCACUCAUCAGGCCUCAACGACCACAGCCACCACGGCCCAG